This 68-nucleotide transfer RNA is filed under the name Enoplops sibiricus. Its description in RNAcentral is "tRNA-Val". Lineage: Eukaryota; Metazoa; Arthropoda; Insecta; Hemiptera; Coreidae. The record is from RNAcentral.
CAAGUUAAAUUUUAGAAAUGUUGUUAUUUACAAUAAUGAUUAGGAUCGUGCAAUUCGUUCUAACUUGA